UACGGAGGGUGCAAGCGUUAUCCGGAUUCACUGGGUUUAAAGGGUGCGUAGGUGGGUCUGUAAGUCCGUGGUGAAAUCUCCAAGCUUAACUUGGAAACUGCCGUGGAUACUAUAGAUCUUGAAUAUUGUGGAGGUAAGCGGAAUAUGUCAUGUAGCGGUGAAAUGCUUAGAUAUGACACAGAACACCAAUUGCGAAGGCAGCUCACUACUCAAUCAUUGACUCUGAGGCACGAAAGCGUGGGGAUCAAACAGG
This 253-nucleotide ribosomal RNA is filed under the name uncultured bacterium. RNAcentral's name for it is "partial 16S ribosomal RNA". It matches the Rfam family "Bacterial small subunit ribosomal RNA", at positions 524 to 776 of the family's 1533-position model. The record is from RNAcentral.